This is a long non-coding RNA of Nerophis ophidion (straightnose pipefish), 376 nucleotides long. RefSeq lists it as uncharacterized. The record is from RefSeq and is a predicted model, not a curated record. NCBI's taxonomy places the organism in Eukaryota, Metazoa, Chordata, Actinopteri, Syngnathiformes, Syngnathidae. The transcript has 4 exons.
UCAAUGCCUACCUCACCUUUCUUGUGAGGAAAUAUAAUAAAAUAAGUCCAGAAAAGGCUGGUGUCAUCGACAGUUUUUGCAUGACGACAAUUUGGCAAGGGAAACAACAAAGACUCCGAAAACUCGAUCCAAUGGCAUUCUCCAUCCUUUUGGGAAUAAUUAAUGAACAAAACCACUGGAUGUUGACGGUCAUCUACCCACACGAGAAGAGAUGCUUUUUUUGGAUCCAUUGGGGGAAUCACAAAGGAACAUCAAGAGAUGCCUGGGGUCAACAAGGGCCUUUAUGCGAAAGAAAGGCUGCAACGUGACAAGGUGGGCAUGCAGCACCCUGGCCCAUGCACGCCAGCAAGAUGGCACAGCAUGUGGUGUCCUGGCC